This 155-nucleotide ribosomal RNA is filed under the name uncultured Bacillota bacterium. RNAcentral's name for it is "uncultured Firmicutes bacterium partial 16S ribosomal RNA". It matches the Rfam family "Bacterial small subunit ribosomal RNA", at positions 367 to 514 of the family's 1533-position model. Lineage: Bacteria; Bacillati; Bacillota. The record is from RNAcentral.
CGCAAUGGACGAAAGUCUGAUGGAGCAACGCCGCGUGAGCGAUGAAGGCCUUCGGGUCGUAAAGCUCUGUUGUUAGGGAAGAACAAGUAUCGGAGUAACUGCCGGUACCUUGACGGUACCUAACCAGAAAGCCACGGCUAACUACGUGCCAGCAG